RNAcentral lists this unclassified non-coding RNA (250 nucleotides) under plant metagenome. RNAcentral describes it as "partial contains small subunit ribosomal RNA, internal transcribed spacer 1, and 5.8S ribosomal RNA". The record is from RNAcentral.
GUAGGUGAACCUGCGGAAGGAUCAUUAUUGAAGUAAACCUGAUAGAUUGUUGCUGGUUCUUUAAUGAACAUGUGCACAUCUGUCAUCUUUAUAUCUCCACCUGUGCACCUUUUGUAGACCUGGACAAGUUUCUUAAUCCUAGUAUUAAGGUUUUGGGAUUGACUUUAUUGACUUUCCUUAUAUUUCUGGGUCUAUGUUUAUUCAAAUACCCUAAUGUAUGUUAUAGAAUGUAAUAAGUGGGCCUUUGUGC